CGACGCUGGCGGCGUGCCUAACACAUGCAAGUCAAGGAGAAUUCCCGACUUGUCGGGAUAGUAAACUGGCGAACGGGUGAGUAACACGUAGGUAAUCUACCCUCGGGAUCGGGAUAACCUCGCGAAAGUGGGGAUAAUACCGAAUAAAGUCUCGGUAUAAUUUGUCGAGAUGAAAGAUGGGGAUCUUCGGACCUAUUACCUGAGGAUGAGCCUGCGCCUGAUUAGCUAGUUGGUAGGGUAAAUGCCUACCAAGGCAACGAUCAGUAGCUGGUCUGAGAGGAUGAUCAGCCACAUUGGGACUGAGAUACGGCCCAGACUCCUACGGGAGGCAGCAGUGAGGAAUUUUGCGCAAUGGGCGAAAGCCUGACGCAGCAACGCCGCGUGACUGAUUAAGCUCUGAGGAGUGUAAAAGUCUGUCGUAGAGGAAGAAACUAUCCGAUAAGAAUAUUGUCGGAUACUGACGGUACUCUAUGAGAAAGCUCCGGCUAACUCCGUG
Molecule: ribosomal RNA, 496 nt
Filed under: uncultured bacterium
Lineage: Bacteria
Description: bacterial SSU rRNA
Rfam family: Bacterial small subunit ribosomal RNA
Source: RNAcentral